RNAcentral lists this ribosomal RNA (375 nucleotides) under Lumbricillus sp. H MJK-2016. RNAcentral's name for it is "partial 12S ribosomal RNA". It matches the Rfam family "Bacterial small subunit ribosomal RNA", at positions 875 to 1411 of the family's 1533-position model. Lineage: Eukaryota; Metazoa; Annelida; Clitellata; Enchytraeida; Enchytraeidae. The record is from RNAcentral.
UAAAGACAUAUUAAAAUACCGGUCAAUACGAACAACAGUUUAAAAUCCAAAGAAUUUGGCGGUGUCUUAUAUAAUCAGGGGAACCUGUUUCUUAAUUCGAUACUCCACGAAAUUUAAUCCUUGUUUUGAAUCUCAGCCUGUGUACUGCUGUCGCCAGUAAACCUCUAUAAGAAAGUUUACAAAAAUAAUUUAAUUAUAUACGUCAAGUCAAAGUGCAGCUAAUAACUAGGAGAACAAUGGGUUACAAUCUAAAAAAAGAUUACGAAUUAAUUAAACAAAAAAAUUAUGAAGGUGGACUUGAAAGUAAUAUUUAUAUAAAAAAAAUAUAAAUUAAAAUCUAAGACAUGCACACAUCGCCCGUCGCUCUCGUCUUAA